Molecule: ribosomal RNA, 278 nt
Filed under: uncultured bacterium
Lineage: Bacteria
Description: partial 16S ribosomal RNA
Rfam family: Bacterial small subunit ribosomal RNA
Source: RNAcentral
ACGAACGCUAGCGGCGUGCCUAACACAUGCAAGUCGAACGAGAAAUCCUGAGCAAUCGGGAGAGUAAAGUGGCGCACGGGUGAGUAACGCGUGGGUAAUCUACCCUGGAGUCAGGAAUAACACUUCGAAAGGAGUGCUAAUACCUGAUAACCUCCUGGAGAUUUCGGUCUCCGGGAUAAAAGAUGGCUGAGGCUUGCAAGCUAUUACUCCAGGAUGAGCCCGCGUACCAUUAGCUAGUUGGUGGGGUAAUGGCCCACCAAGGCAACGAUGGUUAGCUG